RNAcentral lists this ribosomal RNA (253 nucleotides) under uncultured bacterium. Its description in RNAcentral is "partial 16S ribosomal RNA". It matches the Rfam family "Bacterial small subunit ribosomal RNA", at positions 524 to 776 of the family's 1533-position model. The record is from RNAcentral.
GACGUAGGGCGCGAGCGUUGUCCGGAUUUAUUGGGCGUAAAGAGCUCGUAGGCGGCUUGUUGCGUCGACUGUGAAAACCCGCGGCUUAACCGCGGGCUUGCAGUUGAUACGGGCAGGCUAGAGUUCGGUAGGGGAGACUGGAAUUCCUGGUGUAGCGGUGAAAUGCGCAGAUAUCAGGAGGAACACCGGUGGCGAGGGCGGGUCUCUGGGCCGAUACUGACGCUGAGGAGCGAAAGCGUGGGGAGCAAACAGG